Non-coding RNA from Punica granatum (pomegranate), 1697 nucleotides. The record is from RefSeq and is a predicted model, not a curated record. Lineage: Eukaryota; Viridiplantae; Streptophyta; Magnoliopsida; Myrtales; Lythraceae.
UAUUUCUUUAUUGUAGCUCAGCUCGUACACUAGUGCUUGCAUUUUCUAUAUGAAGAAAAGACGAACUCUACGAGGAUCACGCCUUACUUCCGCGAUUGAAGCUUCCACCGGCUCAAACGCGUCAAGGAAUGUGCCCAUUGAUGAUAUCGAAACUCAACCGCUGGAUUCAUACGAGGAAGAAGUACCAGAGACUCCAACCGAUCCACAAGUGAGAAAACGAGGAAAAACGAGUGUGGGAGAUAUUUGGAAUCUUCCUCCGGGCGAACGUAUAAUUGUUGAACUCGAUGAGUAUGGCCAUCCUGUUGAGAGGGAAGCUUCAUUGCUGGCAAAGUUCAUUAGGACGAUAGUCCAGAAUGGAAAUUUGUGCCCUGUGGAUACCGAACAUUGGGGAAAAGUCCCAAAAUGUAUAAAGGACAACAUUUUGAAGAUCAUUCGUGUAACGUCGGAGGUUAUGAUAUCUUGUCUUGGUUAUUGGACAACAUCAUCUCAUGCUUCAUAUGGUAAUUUUACUAAUUCGACAUUCUUUUUUUCGCAGGAGAAAUUUGAGUUCUAAUGUCAUAUAGAAGAUAAAGAGAUCUUGAGCAGGUUCCAAGAUUCGUAAGCGAAAUGAUUUGAAAAGUACGGUAUACCUCCCAAAGGUCGAGAAAAGAUGUUCGAUCGAGGAAAUUCAAUCAGAGUGCCCCCUGGUGUUGCUGAAGUUCAGAGGAAGAAAUUUGUGGACUAUUGCCGAACCCCAGGGGCAGAUAGGAAAUCGAAACACGGGAAGGCAUUACGAGGCAAGAUGCGGCAUCAUCACACCACCGGAUCUACGAGUUUUUCCACUCCUGCACGCAGAUUUGAAAAAUCAGAGAGGGUCGAGCUCCUUCAAGGCUGGAGCGGUUCAAAUACCAACAUAAGCAUCCCGAUGGGUCAUUAAUCAAUGAGGAUGAUGAACAAAUCCUUACUCAAGCCAAAAAGUGGGUCGAGGAUCGUCUCUCUGAAACACAAGCAGCUGGCAUAUGGUUGAUAAAGUCACUGUGGAAAAUGAGGUGUACGCAGAAGUGUUCUGCCCGGACAACCAUGGAAGGGUAACUGGAUUUGGGCGUGGGAUGACGCAAUCGAGGUUGCGUGGUGCUUCGAUAAGUCAAACAACCUAAUCAAGCCCAGCUCUGGAAAGAGAGUUGAAAGAGGUUUUUGGGAACAACACGAGCAACAUUUGGAAACAAUUCGAGAAGAACAAGUUCAAUGUGAAGAAUCGCUUCAGGCUAAACAAGAAUGGCAUGAGGAAGCAAUCCGGGCUGAACAACAACGGAAUCAGGAAGCCAUUCGAGCAGAACAACACCGAUGUGAAGUAGAACUUCGAGCUAAACUUGAAGAUAAAUUUCGCCAGGAGGCAGAUGCUUUAGCAACUAAGGUGCUUAAGGCUUCCGAGGAGAUACUGAAGAGGAAAUAUGAUACCUUAUUUUUUGAUUUUUUGAAGGCUGGGAAGUUCCUGGACAGCUCGCAAGUUAAACCAGUGUCACAGCUGAAUGGGCAUGGACGCAGAGGUUCGAAUGAUGACACCACCCAAUAAUUGCUUGUCUUUCAUUACGUCGUUGUUCGACCAUGUUGGGAUUAAUAUGCCUAUCUUGCUGUUUAAACUUAAGACGUCAGGGAUCGGCAUUUGUCGUGUAAUGUAAUAUGGAUGGAUUCUUAAUUAAAUUAUGUAAUAUUACUUU